GGGUUGUGAGGUUAAGCGACUAAGCGUACACGGUGGAUGCCCUGGCAGUCAGAGGCGAUGAAGGACGUGCUAAUCUGCGAUAAGCGUCGGUAAGGUGAUAUGAACCGUUAUAACCGGCGAUUUCCGAAUGGGGAAACCCAGUGUGAUUCGUCACACUAUCAUUAACUGAAUCCAUAGGUUAAUGAGGCGAACCGGGGGAACUGAAACAUCUAAGUACCCCGAGGAAAAGAAAUCAACCGAGAUUCCCCCAGUAGCGGCGAGCGAACGGGGAGCAGCCCAGAGCCUGAAUCAGUGUGUGUGUUAGUGGAAGCGUCUGGAAAGGCGCGCGAUACAGGGUGACAGCCCCGUACACAAAAAUGCACAUAUUGUGAGCUCGAUGAGUAGGGCGGGACACGUGGUAUCCUGUCUGAAUAUGGGGGGACCAUCCUCCAAGGCUAAAUACUCCUGACUGACCGAUAGUGAACCAGUACCGUGAGGGAAAGGCGAAAAGAACCCCGGCGAGGGGAGUGAAAAAGAACCUGAAACCGUGUACGUACAAGCAGUGGGAGCACGCUUCGGCGUGUGACUGCGUACCUUUUGUAUAAUGGGUCAGCGACUUAUAUUCUGUAGCAAGGUUAACCGAAUAGGGGAGCCGAAGGGAAACCGAGUCUUAACUGGGCGUUAAGUUGCAGGGUAUAGACCCGAAACCCGGUGAUCUAGCCAUGGGCAGGUUGAAGGUUGGGUAACACUAACUGGAGGACCGAACCGACUAAUGUUGAAAAAUUAGCGGAUGACUUGUGGCUGGGGGUGAAAGGCCAAUCAAACCGGGAGAUAGCUGGUUCUCCCCGAAAGCUAUUUAGGUAGCGCCUCGUGAAUUCAUCUCCGGGGGUAGAGCACUGUUUCGGCAAGGGGGUCAUCCCGACUUACCAACCCGAUGCAAACUGCGAAUACCGGAGAAUGUUAUCACGGGAGACACACGGCGGGUGCUAACGUCCGUCGUGAAGAGGGAAACAACCCAGACCGCCAGCUAAGGUCCCAAAGUCAUGGUUAAGUGGGAAACGAUGUGGGAAGGCCCAGACAGCCAGGAUGUUGGCUUAGAAGCAGCCAUCAUUUAAAGAAAGCGUAAUAGCUCACUGGUCGAGUCGGCCUGCGCGGAAGAUGUAACGGGGCUAAACCAUGCACCGAAGCUGCGGCAGCGACACUAUGUGUUGUUGGGUAGGGGAGCGUUCUGUAAGCCUGUGAAGGUGUGCUGUGAGGCAUGCUGGAGGUAUCAGAAGUGCGAAUGCUGACAUAAGUAACGAUAAAGCGGGUGAAAAGCCCGCUCGCCGGAAGACCAAGGGUUCCUGUCCAACGUUAAUCGGGGCAGGGUGAGUCGACCCCUAAGGCGAGGCCGAAAGGCGUAGUCGAUGGGAAACAGGUUAAUAUUCCUGUACUUGGUGUUACUGCGAAGGGGGGACGGAGAAGGCUAUGUUGGCCGGGCGACGGUUGUCCCGGUUUAAGCGUGUAGGCUGGUUUUCCAGGCAAAUCCGGAAAAUCAAGGCUGAGGCGUGAUGACGAGGCACUACGGUGCUGAAGCAACAAAUGCCCUGCUUCCAGGAAAAGCCUCUAAGCAUCAGGUAACAUCAAAUCGUACCCCAAACCGACACAGGUGGUCAGGUAGAGAAUACCAAGGCGCUUGAGAGAACUCGGGUGAAGGAACUAGGCAAAAUGGUGCCGUAACUUCGGGAGAAGGCACGCUGAUAUGUAGGUGAAGUCCCUCGCGGAUGGAGCUGAAAUCAGUCGAAGAUACCAGCUGGCUGCAACUGUUUAUUAAAAACACAGCACUGUGCAAACACGAAAGUGGACGUAUACGGUGUGACGCCUGCCCGGUGCCGGAAGGUUAAUUGAUGGGGUCAGCGCAAGCGAAGCUCUUGAUCGAAGCCCCGGUAAACGGCGGCCGUAACUAUAACGGUCCUAAGGUAGCGAAAUUCCUUGUCGGGUAAGUUCCGACCUGCACGAAUGGCGUAAUGAUGGCCAGGCUGUCUCCACCCGAGACUCAGUGAAAUUGAACUCGCUGUGAAGAUGCAGUGUACCCGCGGCAAGACGGAAAGACCCCGUGAACCUUUACUAUAGCUUGACACUGAACAUUGAGCCUUGAUGUGUAGGAUAGGUGGGAGGCUUUGAAGUGUGGACGCCAGUCUGCAUGGAGCCGACCUUGAAAUACCACCCUUUAAUGUUUGAUGUUCUAACGUUGACCCGUAAUCCGGGUUGCGGACAGUGUCUGGUGGGUAGUUUGACUGGGGCGGUCUCCUCCUAAAGAGUAACGGAGGAGCACGAAGGUUGGCUAAUCCUGGUCGGACAUCAGGAGGUUAGUGCAAUGGCAUAAGCCAGCUUGACUGCGAGCGUGACGGCGCGAGCAGGUGCGAAAGCAGGUCAUAGUGAUCCGGUGGUUCUGAAUGGAAGGGCCAUCGCUCAACGGAUAAAAGGUACUCCGGGGAUAACAGGCUGAUACCGCCCAAGAGUUCAUAUCGACGGCGGUGUUUGGCACCUCGAUGUCGGCUCAUCACAUCCUGGGGCUGAAGUAGGUCCCAAGGGUAUGGCUGUUCGCCAUUUAAAGUGGUACGCGAGCUGGGUUUAGAACGUCGUGAGACAGUUCGGUCCCUAUCUGCCGUGGGCGCUGGAGAACUGAGGGGGGCUGCUCCUAGUACGAGAGGACCGGAGUGGACGCAUCACUGGUGUUCGGGUUGUCAUGCCAAUGGCACUGCCCGGUAGCUAAAUGCGGAAGAGAUAAGUGCUGAAAGCAUCUAAGCACGAAACUUGCCCCGAGAUGAGUUCUCCCUGACCCUUUAAGGGUCCUGAAGGAACGUUGAAGACGACGACGUUGAUAGGCCGGGUGUGUAAGCGCAGCGAUGCGUUGAGCUAACCGGUACUAAUGAACCGUGAGGCUUAACCUUACAACGCCGAAGCUGUU
RNAcentral lists this ribosomal RNA (2929 nucleotides) under Escherichia coli. RNAcentral's name for it is "23S ribosomal RNA". It matches the Rfam family "Bacterial large subunit ribosomal RNA". Lineage: Bacteria; Pseudomonadati; Pseudomonadota; Gammaproteobacteria; Enterobacterales; Enterobacteriaceae. The record is from RNAcentral.